RNAcentral lists this transfer RNA (74 nucleotides) under Melanocetus murrayi (Murray's abyssal anglerfish). RNAcentral describes it as "tRNA-Leu". It matches the Rfam family "tRNA". From Rfam's summary of the family: Transfer RNA (tRNA) molecules are approximately 80 nucleotides in length. Lineage: Eukaryota; Metazoa; Chordata; Actinopteri; Lophiiformes; Melanocetidae. RNAcentral also lists the same sequence under 1 other name. The record is from RNAcentral.
GUUAGUGUGGCAGAGCCUGGUAAUUGCAAAAGGCCUAAGCCCUUCAAACAGGGGUUCAAAUCCUCUCCCUAACU